UACGUAGGUGGCAAGCGUUGUCCGGAUUUAUUGGGUUUAAAGGGUGCGUAGGCGGCCCUAUAAGUCAGUGCUGAAAUAUCCCGGCUUAACCGGGAGGGUGGCAUUGAUACUGUAGGGCUUGAGUAAAGUUGAGGUUGGCGGAAUUGACGGUGUAGUGGUGAAAUGCUUAGAUAUCGUCAAGAACACCUAUUGCGAAGGCAGCUAACUAAGCUUUAACUGACGCUGAGGCACGAAAGUGUGGGGAUCAAACAGG
This 253-nucleotide ribosomal RNA is filed under the name uncultured bacterium. RNAcentral's name for it is "partial 16S ribosomal RNA". It matches the Rfam family "Bacterial small subunit ribosomal RNA", at positions 524 to 776 of the family's 1533-position model. The record is from RNAcentral.